AAUUUAUUACUACUCACCCCAGAUUUUCUUCCGAUAAAUUUUACAACUUUCUUUCACAGAUUCGAUGCCACGAGCUGUGUAAACUUUGAGCAGAUUCAUAUCACACAAAGGUUUGCUUCCUUCUAUUCAAGAACACAAUAACAUAGCUAUCACCAAUUGUUUUCACAAAACAAAAUCAAUCAAGAUGUUCAUAUGCAUGUACUUUGCAUAAUCUGAAGCAUUUAUUUCAUAAACUGAAUCAAGUUUUCUUGAAGUGAAUAAAUGAGUAGAAAAAUGUUUUUAAAUUGGAAAAAAAGGGGAAUAAUUUGCUGUCGGAUGUGGGUGACUCGAGGCAAGUCGGGGACUGAGAGGCGGCUGCGGCUUGAUUGCUGCUGCUGCUGCUGCUCGAGAGUUGAGGGAGAAACCGGCGGCGGCGGAGGCUGUUGAUUGUUGUUGUCUGUCGGUCGGGAGGAGAGAAAAUGGGCAGGGCGGUGGUCCUUGUGGGCUGCUGUUCAGCCGGUCGAUGGAGGAGGAAGGCGGCUGAGCGGCGACGCCGCUGUUACCGCGGCUGUUGUCGCCGGCAAGGGAGAGGUGCCGGGCGUCCGUUGGAGAGGAAGAAGAACAAAAAUAAAAAAUAGAGAGAGACCGAUAGAUAAGAGAGAUAGAAGGGAGAUGGGCUUGUUGAAUUAUUGUUGGGUUUAAUUAAAUGAUGAGCAUGGGCUGCAUUUUGAUGUUGAGCUUGGCACUUGUUUAUUUAG
RNAcentral lists this long non-coding RNA (737 nucleotides) under Salvia miltiorrhiza (redroot sage). RNAcentral describes it as "long non-coding RNA (SMIL_LNC006104)". The record is from RNAcentral. Lineage: Eukaryota; Viridiplantae; Streptophyta; Magnoliopsida; Lamiales; Lamiaceae.